This 388-nucleotide ribosomal RNA is filed under the name uncultured bacterium. RNAcentral describes it as "bacterial SSU rRNA". It matches the Rfam family "Bacterial small subunit ribosomal RNA", at positions 28 to 410 of the family's 1533-position model. The record is from RNAcentral.
GACGAACGCUGGCGGCGUGCCUAAUACAUGCAAGUCGAGCGGACAGAUGGGAGCUUGCUCCCUGAAGUCAGCGGCGGACGGGUGAGUAACACGUGGGCAACCUGCCUGUAAGACUGGGAUAACUCCGGGAAACCGGGCUAAUACCGGAUAACUCUUUUCCUCACAUGAGGAAAAGCUGAAAGAUGGUUUCGGCUAUCACUUUACAGAUGGGCCCGCGGCGCAUUAGCUAGUUGGUGAGGUAACGGCUCACCAAGGCCACGAUGCGUAGCCGACCUGAGAGGGUGAUCGGCCACACUGGGCUGAGACACGGCCCAGGACUCCUAGGAGGCAGCAGUAGGGAAUCUUCGCAAUGGACAAAGUCCUGACGAGCAACGCCGCGUGAGUGAUG